CUUUAAAUCAUAGCAGGUAUAGUUGAUAUAAUCAAUCACCUAACAAAAAUUAUUGCUUUUUUGUUAUUAUAUCAUGAUAUAAUAACUUUCUGAUAAUAUGAAAUAAUGACGACCGGAGUGAAAGAAACUUACUCAUCUAGAUUGAGUGGGCUGUAUUAAUCGAAUUUAACUAGAAGUUGAAAAUUUAACGUUAUAAAUAAAUAAAAGUAAGAUUAUUUCAAACCGGGUCAGAUUAAAAGAAAAGUCCACCUGGAGAUUAUUUUUUAAAUCUUAUUUUCACACUCUGACAGCUGUUAUCCGAUUUUAAUCUUUACAAAAAGUCAGUACCCCCGCGAAAAG
This is a long non-coding RNA of Eupeodes corollae, 339 nucleotides long. RefSeq lists it as uncharacterized. The transcript is spliced from 3 exons. The record is from RefSeq and is a predicted model, not a curated record. Lineage: Eukaryota; Metazoa; Arthropoda; Insecta; Diptera; Syrphidae.